GUGUGUGUAAUUUAAAAAAAAUAUCAAGUUGUGACCCUGAAAAUAAAUACCCCUCGCACACC
This 62-nucleotide transfer RNA is filed under the name Agkistrodon piscivorus (cottonmouth). RNAcentral describes it as "tRNA-His". Lineage: Eukaryota; Metazoa; Chordata; Lepidosauria; Squamata; Viperidae. The record is from RNAcentral.